CCCUCACCGGGCUGCUGAAGGACGAAGCCCCACACAAGGUUAAAGAGUUUACAGCUGUCCCGGCAGAGCCAUCUUCCACGUCUGGGGCCCAUCUUGGAGCAGCUUCUCCAGCUCCAAGGAAAAGUCCCUGCCCAGCUAUGCAACUGCCGGGAGCUUGGCAGCCGGGUCUCUCUGCCCUUCCAGUGUGGCUGAGCAGCCGGGCCCCUCGCUAGCCCUGGGAUCAUUUAUCUCUUUCCCUGUGGAAGCUGGAGGACGUCUGAGAAGGGCCUGGGCUUUGGAGCCUGGAAGGCAUGGGCCUCACCUGCAUCUCCGCGCGGCCACUUUCCAAUUUAGUGGCCUCAGCCUUCCGCCGGCAGCAGCUCCAGAUAAAGAAUGCAGAGUAUGUGCUUCAGUGUCACAAACUGUGCCUAGCCACCAUCCAUCAUCCUGUCAAGACAUCACUCCAGACAGCCCGGCUUCAAGCAGAACCAGGUUGGGGAUUUUCCUCCCAAGAAUAACAAACAGCAGCUAAGUCAGGUUAGGAGCCUCUGCUUCCCCCCGAUCCCUUCAUUACAGAUGAAUGAAUUUUGGGUUUCCCUACGUUGUCCAGCUAGUCCUCCUCCAUUUCCUCAGGGCGUAGAGCAGCAAAAGUCACCAACCCUCAUCCAGUUCAAGAAGCCUCUAAAUGUCACGUAAGUUUAUGCAACCCUUGGCAGGUAGGAUAUGGAGUUUGGAAUAGCAGAAAUUCUUUGCAAGUAGAGAGCAUUUAUAAAAUUCAUCCACGUACCUUAUCCUGUUGAUCUUUACGGCCACCCUAUAAGGCAGGGAUUGUAUUCCCCAGUUGCCAGUUGAGCUGAAUGAGACUCAGAGAAGUUAAGUGAGUUCUCCAAGGUCACAUAGAGUCAGGGGAAGUUGGGGUCUGCUCCCAGUUCUUUUGACUCUAAAUCAUGCACUCCUGGUACUCCUUAUGUUGCAGCUAUUCUUUCUUCCCCAUACUCCUCCUCUCCUCAAACUGUGUCUCUCUGUUGCUAUCUGUCUUUCCAUACCUAGUCCCGAGCAUACAGUGAAGGUCUGACCAUCUCAGAAGCUGCAUGGAGGGAGGGUCUGGCCAUCUCAGAAGCUUCAUGGAGGGAGGGGCUGGCCAUCUCUGUAGCUGCAUAGAGGGAGGGGCUGGCCAUCUCAGAAGUUCCAUGGAGAGAGGGGCUGGGCAUGUCACUGGCUGCAUGGAGGGAGGGGCUGGCCAUCUCAGAAGCUGCAUGGAGGGAGGGGCUGGCCAUCUCAGAAGCUGCAUGGAGGGAAGGGCUGGCCAUCUCAGAAGCUGCAUGGAGUCGGGGUCUGGCCAUCUCAGUGGCUGCAUGGAUUGGGGGACUGGCCAUCUCUGUAGCUGCCCUUGAUUGUCUCCAGAGAGGCACUGACUGAUCAUCGGCGAGUCUGCCUUCCCCUCCUCUGAAUCAUAACCAACCAGGAUCAGCGAGGCUGGAGCUAUGAGGGGGUUGCUUAGAGUGAUCUAGUUCUCCUCUUUGAUUGGAUAGAUCCAGGAGCCAGCUGAGGCCAGCACAGUUCUCUCCCUAGUGAAUGUGACAAUAGGCCUGGGUCCUGAUUCCCCACAUCCUACUGCCUAACAUGAUGCACCCAUCAUCUCCAACCAAGAGACAGGGAUCAGAGACUCAACAUGUUAGCAAACUACAACUCACCCACAUGCAAGCCAGCUGUCCAAUGGGAAUUCUCCUGAUUGAGUGAUGGGGUGGACUGAGGUUUCACACUUGCUUCCUCCAGUGAUGCAGAGCACCAUUUCCAAACCCAAAUAGUCCUCUGGCUCCCAAAAUGAGGGAGAAGAUAGGAGGGGAAGGAGGAGCUAAGCUGCACCCAUUAUCAGUGAGCACAGGUGCAGGAGAGAGGGGGUGCCAGACACAUCUCCACCUCCAUCCCUGGAUCUGUGAUUGACAGGCGCUCAUGUAAUUCACAGAGGCCAAAGGGGAUGAGGUAGGCAGAAUAACAGCCCCCUAAAGAUACCCAUGUUCUAAUCCCUAGAACAUGUGAAUGUUAACCUUAUAUGGCAAGAAAAGGAUUUUAUAGAUGUGAUUAAGUUUAAGUUCUAAAAAUGGAGAGGUUAUCCCGGAUUAUCUGAGUGGGUCCGAUCCGCAAUCACGAGACGGAGGCAGAGGCAGAUGAUCGACCCCAGACAGGAGAGGAGAAUGCAGCAGGGCCCGCAGAGGCAGAGGCUGGAAUGGAGCAGCCCCAAGACAAAGCAUGCUGGCCACCACCAGAAGCCAGAGUACAUGAGGCACAGACCCUUCCCUGGAGCCUCCAGGGAAGCACAGCCCUGCUGACACCUUGAUUUGCGCCCAUUGAGACUUAUUUUGGACCUUUGGCCUCUAGAACUGUGACAGAAUACACUUCUGUUUUUUACACACUUUGUGUGUAAGACUGUGUUACCGCAGUUGCAGGAAACUCACACCAGGGACUAGAGCAGCACUGGCGGUGACCGCUGGUGCUGGCAGAUCUGUCCAAGUGGACCAGGCCCUGGUUCCACAAGUGAGGCCCUCAUGCAGAGGGCGGGUCUGCACACCUGGAAGGGAGGUGGUGAUUAGGUAAUGAACAGUUCUUCCAUUCCUGUCCCAAUUGAACAUGGUGGUCCCCUCUCUCCUAUUCACCCUCGUCCAGCCUCCUCCCCACCAACCCCAUCUGCCUCCCGAAAGGGCACUUACCUUCACCUUGCUGCUGCUCUGAUGUAUUUGUUUUUGCACUGCUAUAAAUAAAUACCUGAGCCUGGGUAAUUUCUAAAGACAAGAGGUUGAAUUGGCUCAUGGUCCUGCAGGCUGUACAGGAAGCAUGGCGGCAUCUGCUUCUGGGGAGGCCUGAGGGAGUUUUACUCAUGGUGGAAGGCAAAGUGGGAGCAGGCGUCUUACACGGCAGGUGCAGGACCCAGAGAGAGAACAGGGAAGUGCCACACACUUUUAAACAACCAGAUGUCACUAGAACUCACUCACUGUCUCAAGAACAGCACCCAGGGGGUUGGUGUUAAUCCAUUCAUGAGAAUCCACCCCCAUCAUUCAGUCACCUCCCACAAGGCCCCACCUCCAGCACUGGGGAUUACAUCUCCACCUGAGAUUUGGGUGGGGACACCGAUUCAAACCACAUCACCCGAUAUUUACCCAUAGGUCUCAGGGCUUCUGCCCUCUCCCCAGGGUGUCAAUAUAGGCUAAGUCUAUGGUCUGUCCAGGAACCCAAGCCUGAAGCAGGGGGCCUGACUGUACAUUGUGAAGUCUGACAUGGGUGGUGAGUGUCCGCCUCACUCCCUGCCACCUCCCUGCAUCGGAGGUGAGUGGAGCCAACUCACCUUCUUCUUCCUCAAGGCCCCACUGAGACCCAGGACCAGCCCCAGGGUCUUGUGAACUCUCCCUUCUUUCCUGCCUGUCCCCACCUGCCACACACACACACACACACACACACACACACACACACAGAGAGAGAGUCAAAGGUUAAGAGGCACUUUUUUCUUUCUUUCUUUCUUUCUUUUUGUGAUGGAGUAUUGCUCCAUCACAAAAGAGAUCUUGGCUGCAGGCUGAUCUCGGCUCACUGCAAACUGUGCCUCCUGGGUUCAAGUGAUUAUCCUGUCUCAGCCUCCUGAGUAGCUGGGAUUACAGGUAAGCUCCAUCACAGCCAGGUAAUUUUUGUGUUUUUAGUAGAGAUAGGGUUUCACCAUAUUGGCCAGGCUGGUCUCGAACUCCUGACCUCAGGUAAUCCCCCCGCCUCAGCCUCCCAAAGUGCUGGGAUUACAGGCAUGAGCCACUGUGCCCGGCCAAGAGGCACUUGUUAAAGACCACAUCCUUACAGGUGGAGAGGGUGCCUGGAGGGGGGAUGCUACAGGGUGAGGAGGUGGUGGGCAGAGCUGUUCACCUGAAAAUGGCACGCACAUGGCCCGGGGGUAAAAGUGGUGAGUAAGGGGGGGCAGGGCAGGAGGGCAUCACGGGACUCAGCUUGAAGGUGAAGAGUGAGGGAAUAGGAAGAGAAGGAGGGCCAGGGCCACAGGAGCAGAGUUCAACAUAGAGAGAAGCCAGCCUCCUGGAUCAGGUGCCUGUGUAGUGACCCCUCCCGAAGGAGGAAAAGGUGGUCAGCAGAGGAGAUGAGCCGGUAGAAACCAGGCAGCCUUUGGAGGUGCCUGGCAACAGGGAGCAACAGUGGAGUUCAUGCGAAGUGGCUGGGCAGCUGAAACACGGUCCAGAGAAGCCCAUUAAUCAUUCAUUCAUUCAUUCAUCCAGGAAAACACUCACUGGGCUCUGACUGACUGGGCUAGGCUCUGGAGAUACAGAGAUGGGUGAGAAACAGUCCGUGAUUUCCAGACAUUUGAGCCAGGCAGAGAGAUGGCAGUGCUACCAGUUCCGCUGUGGGAGGCUGGCCAGGUUCUGUGGGUACCAACUCCACGUGAAUAGCUCUGUCUUCUCCUUCCUCUGCCUGUUGCACCCACCCCUCCAGGCACCUGCUCUACCUGAGGAGACAUGGUUUUGAAGAAGUUCCACUUAACCUUUGAGUGUGUGGCGAGUGGGGAUGGAUGGGCAUCCAGUCUCCUGGGGGUGGUAGGAGAGCACUUUCUCCUCAUAGUGACCCUAAACCUGCAUCUUGAAAUGUAAUUCAAACUGAAUAUGCAAGCAAGAGGUGGGGGCCGUGCAGGCAGAUGGUGUCCCAGGACCAGGCACAGAGGCCUGAAUGCAGCUGCUCCCUGUGUGGCUGGAGCAGCAGGUGGAAGGGCCAUUGGCUGCGCUGGAUGCAGAAGGAUGCUGUCCCAAGAGGUCUGGACAUUCUCUCAGGGGCAACGCUGUUCAGGUGGAGCAAGCUUCUUUUUGUGUUUUAUAAAAGUAGGAAAGAUGCAUGGGUGAGGGGAGGGGUGGGAACAGAGCAGAGGGAGGGAGGGAGAUCACCUGGAGGCUGUUGUCACAGACCAUGCAUUCCAUAAGGGGGUGACAUCACCCCCAAAGUGGCAAAAUUGGUUCUUGGGGCGUGCCAGAAAUCUUACCUUUAUGUUUAAAGGCAUAAAAAUACACACAGCAUAGAAACAGACACACAGUCUAUCUGUGGCAUUGCAAUUUCAUAGGGGCAGGUGAUUAGGAAAAGACUUCUUGACAGGGAAUAAUGAAAAGAAGAUUGGCCGACACUGACCUAUGCUGUGCAGGUAGGGGCCACCCCCGCAAGUCAGAGGGGAGAUGAGGGAUAGGAGGGUGUGACUAAGGAGUGUCAAGAAUGACUGGAGUAGAGGAUGAGAAAUGGAGAAAGGAGAAUCUGCAUAAGCCCCACGCUUCUUGGCUCUGGGUGACUGGGCUGGGGGAAGGAGGGGGGAUGUAAUUUACCAAAAGAAAGCUUGUUAGGGGGUGAGCUAAGGGUGUACCAGGAUGAGUGGCGACCCUCUAAAAUGCAUGACCACCUGGAACCUCUUCAUUUGGAAAUAGGUCUUCCAGCUCUAAUUAAUUAAGAUGAGGUUAUACUGGAUUAUGGUAGACCCCAAAUCUAGGGUCUCAAAGGCUGAUGUCCUUAAAAGGCCGUGUGAAAACACAGAAUGACACACAGGGAAGAAGUCCUUGUGAAGACAGAGGCAGAGGCGGAGGCGAUGCAGCCACAAGCCAAGGAAUGCCAAGGAUUGCCUGGAGCCCCAGGAGCAAGGAGGGAUCCUCUUGCGGAGCCUUCAGAGGGAGCACUGCCCUGCAACAUCUCGAUUUUGGAUUUCCAGCCUCUAGAACUGUGAAAGAAUAAAUCCCUUGUUUUAAGUCUCCCAGUUUGUGGUACUUUGCAAUGGCAACUGCAAACAGCAGGUUCUGUUUGGGUCCCUUGGUUUGGAGGUUCCUGUGGAAUGUGCAGCUUGACAGAUCCAAUAGAGACCUGCAGUUUAAGGAAGCAGUGAUGGGUGGAGACACUGAUUGCCACCAGCGUGCAAGCAGCAGUGGGAAGAAGGAACUUGGCUGAGAUGAUUCAGGGUGAAAGUGGAGUGUGAGAAAGGCAGGGAGAUCAGGACCAACCCCAAGGAAAUACCAUUCAAGGACAAGCAUGAAAGAUGCCCCCUUAAAAGGAGACACCAAUGAAUGAAUAAAUGGGGAAACAGAGAGAAUAGUGUCCCAGGACCCAUGGAAGGAGAGAAUAAAAACCAGCAAAAACACUCUGCAGUCCCAGGACCGGCCUCACUCAGUGCUGGGAUCCUUGGGAAGUUGCUGCAAGGAGUAUAAAGCCGUGGCAUCCAUGCCCAAGGAUAUCACAAGGGGGCACGAAGCCAAGACAUAAACAAGCAAAUUUUAAAUCACCCUCAAAGAGUUAACUAUCAGCACAAGGCUACAGGAGAAAAAAAAAUGAUGUCUCAAGGCAGCACAGUGGAUGAUUAAUUAACGAACGAAUUGCACAGGCUAAAAUUAUAUAAGAGUUCAGAGGACAGAGAAAGCACUUAGGGCUUCAAUUGUCGGGGAUGGAUUUGCUGAGAGGU
RNAcentral lists this long non-coding RNA (6442 nucleotides) under Homo sapiens (human). Its description in RNAcentral is "non-protein coding lnc-SDK2-7:1". The record is from RNAcentral. Lineage: Eukaryota; Metazoa; Chordata; Mammalia; Primates; Hominidae.